Molecule: ribosomal RNA, 497 nt
Filed under: uncultured bacterium
Lineage: Bacteria
Description: partial 16S ribosomal RNA
Rfam family: Bacterial small subunit ribosomal RNA
Source: RNAcentral
GACGAACGCUGGCGGCGUGCCUAAUACAUGCAAGUUGAGCGCUGAAGGUUGGUACUUGUACCAACUGGAUGAGCAGCGAACGGGUGAGUAACGCGUGGGGAAUCUGCCUUUGAGCGGGGGACAACAUUUGGAAACGAAUGCUAAUACCGCAUAAAAACUUUAAACACAAGUUUUAAGUUUGAAAGAUGCAAUUGCAUCACUCAAAGAUGAUCCCGCGUUGUAUUAGCUAGUUGGUGAGGUAAAGGCUCACCAAGGCGAUGAUACAUAGCCGACCUGGGAGGGUGAUCGGCCACAUUGGGACUGAGACACUGCCCAAACUCCUACGGGAGGCAGCAGUAGGGAAUCUUCGGUAAUGGACGAAAGUCUGACCGAGCAACGCCGCGUGAGUGAAGAAGGUUUUCGGAUCGUAAAACUCUGUUGGUAGAGAAGAACGUUGGUGAGAGUGGAAAGCUCAUCAAGUGACGGUAACUACCCAGAAAGGGACGGCUAACUACGUG